Molecule: ribosomal RNA, 331 nt
Filed under: uncultured Butyrivibrio sp.
Lineage: Bacteria; Bacillati; Bacillota; Clostridia; Lachnospirales; Lachnospiraceae
Description: bacterial SSU rRNA
Rfam family: Bacterial small subunit ribosomal RNA
Source: RNAcentral
GAUGAACGCUGGCGGCGUGCCUAACACAUGCAAGUCGAACGGAGAUUUAACGCUGAUGAAGCUUCGGCAGAAUCUUGUUAAAUCUUAGUGGCGGACGGGUGAGUAACGCGUGGGCAACCUGCCUCGUACCGGGGGAUAACAGUUGGAAACGACUGUUAAUACCGCAUAAGCGCACAGUGUCGCAUGACACGGUGUGAAAAACUCCGGUGGUACGAGAUGGGCCCGCGUCAGAUUAGCCAGUUGGCGGGGUAACGGCCCACCAAAGCGACGAUCUGUAGCCGGACUGAGAGGUCGGACGGCCACAUUGGGACUGAGACACGGCCCAAACUCC